GUGAAUCAUCGAAUCUUUGAACGCAAAUUGCACUCUCUGGUAUUCCGGAGAGCAUGCCUGUUUGAGGGUCAGUUUAAAUAAAAAUCGUUGUUGUUGCUUCUUUUCGUGUUGACGCACCGGAUUUGUGUCGUCUUGCUUUUGGGUAAGUGACCUAAAAUUUUGCAUGAUUUUUUCGAACGCAUUUUAAUGAUUUUACGCACGUUUGCGAUAUCGAAUACUAAGUGUCGUCAUCUUCAUGAUUCGCGCAUAUAAUUUCC
Molecule: unclassified non-coding RNA, 257 nt
Filed under: Glomus sp.
Lineage: Eukaryota; Fungi; Glomeromycota; Glomeromycetes; Glomerales; Glomeraceae
Description: partial contains 5.8S ribosomal RNA and internal transcribed spacer 2
Rfam family: 5.8S ribosomal RNA (bases 1-71)
Source: RNAcentral